AGAGUUUGAUCAUGGCUCAGAUUGGACGCUGGCGGCAGGCCUAACACAUGCAAGUCGAGCGGCAGCGCGGGGCAACCUGGCGGCGAGCGGCGGACGGGUGAGUAACGCGUAGGAAUCUACCCAGUAGCGGGGGAUAGCCCGGGGAAACUCGGAUUAAUACCGCAUACGCCCUAAGGGGGAGAGCAGGGGAUCGUAAGACCUUGCACUAUUGGAAGAGCCUGCGUUGGAUUAGCUAGUUGGUAGGGUAAAGGCCUACCAAGGCGACGAUCCAUAACUGGUCUGAGAGGAUGAUCAGUCACACCGGAACUGAGACACGGUCCGGACUCCUACGGGAGGCAGCAGUGGGGAAUAUUGGACAAUGGGGGCAACCCUGAUCCAGCCAUGCCGCGUGUGUGAAGAAGGCCUUCGGGUUGUAAAGCACUUUAAGUGGGGAGAAAGGCUCGCUGCCUAAUAAUCAGCGGGAUUGAUGUUACCCACAGAAUAAGCACCGGCUAACUCUGUGCCAGCAGCCGCGGUAAUACAGAGGGUGCAGGCGUUAAUCGGAAUUACUGGGCGUAAAGCGCGCGUAGGCGGCUAAAUAAGUCGGGUGUGAAAGCCCCGGGCUCAACCUGGGAACUGCGUUCGAUACUGUUUAGCUAGAGUAUGAGAGAGGGAGGUAGAAUUCCACGUGUAGCGGUGAAAUGCGUAGAUAUGUGGAGGAAUACCGGUGGCGAAGGCGGCCUCCUGGUUCAAUACUGACGCUGAGGUGCGAAAGCGUGGGAGCAAACAGGAUUAGAUACCCUGGUAGUCCACGCCGUAAACGAUGUCAACUAGCCGUUGGGGACCUUCGUGUCCUUGGUGGCGCAGCUAACGCGAUAAGUUGACCGCCUGGGGAGUACGGUCGCAAGAUUAAAACUCAAAUGAAUUGACGGGGGCCCGCACAAGCGGUGGAGCAUGUGGUUUAAUUCGACGCAACGCGAAGAACCUUACCAGGUCUUGACAUCCAGAGAAGUCGCUAGAGAUAGCUUCGUGCCUUCGGGAACUCUGAGACAGGUGCUGCUUGGCUGUCGUCAGCUCGUGUCGUGAGAUGUUGGGUUAAGUCCCGUAACGAGCGCAACCCUUAUCCUUAUUUGCCAGCGAGUAAUGUCGGGAACUUUAAGGAGACUGCCGGUGACAAACCGGAGGAAGGUGGGGAUGACGUCAAGUCAUCAUGGCCCUUACGACCUGGGCUACACACGUGCUACAAUGGCGCGUACAGAGGGCUGCAACCUCGCGAGAGUGAGCUAAUCCCAGAAAACGCGUCGUAGUCCGGAUUGGAGUCUGCAACUCGACUCCAUGAAGUCGGAAUCGCUAGUAAUCGCGGAUCAGAAUGCCGCGGUGAAUACGUUCCCGGGCCUUGUACACACCGCCCGUCACACCAUGGGAGUGGGUUGCACCAGAAGUAGCUAGUCUAACCGCAAGGGGGACGGUUACCACGGUGUGAUUCAUGACUGGGGUGAAGUCGUAACAAGGUA
RNAcentral lists this ribosomal RNA (1493 nucleotides) under metagenome. RNAcentral's name for it is "bacterial SSU rRNA". It matches the Rfam family "Bacterial small subunit ribosomal RNA". The record is from RNAcentral.